This 182-nucleotide non-coding RNA is filed under the name Bacteroidota bacterium. RNAcentral describes it as "Bacteroidetes bacterium (marine metagenome) 6S RNA". It matches the Rfam family "6S / SsrS RNA". From Rfam's summary of the family: E. coli 6S RNA was the first non coding RNA to be sequenced, but its function was unknown until recently. It consists of 184 nucleotides that fold into an extended hairpin structure with a large single-stranded internal bulge. The record is from RNAcentral. Lineage: Bacteria; Pseudomonadati; Bacteroidota.
CGAUCCCUGCAUAUAUCUACGACACUGAUUGAGAACCAACACUCUCAAUUAAGGGAGUUCAACUUCGUUCGUGGCGAACAAGCCUUUCUGGCAACAGUGUAAGGAAGUUCAGCACGAGUGAGAGGACACCCAUCUGGUGAACUAAAGCGUUCUCCAAUCUCUCGUAGAAAUGUGGGGAUCUG